AUAGACCAGAACAGCUCAAGGACAGAACAACAUGAAUUUAAAAAGGCAAACGUAGCCUUCAUAUCAAUACACACAAACUAUCUAGGUCAAAUAGGGGAGAGGCGAUGUGAGGUGUUGCUUUAUCUGUUGUUUGAAACCAGGUUUGCUGUUCAUCUCAACAAUAUGAGAUGGAACGGAGUUCCAUGCAAUAAUGUCUCUAUAUAAUACCGUACGCUUUCUUGAAUUUGUUCUGGAUUUGGGGACUGUGAAAAGACCCCUGGUGGCAUGUCUGGUUGGAACUCAACCACACGACUGGACAAUAAUGAAGAUAAAACACAACUAGAGCCUGCAGGACUCAGAGCAUCUCUGAAUCUAUAUGUUUUGACCAUGACAGUUUACAAUCUAAGCAGCAUCUACCCUUUACGGUAUAAUACGGUCCAGAACUGCACUGUUUGUCAUUGAUACGGUAUUUAUAUUACCGGCGUACUGAACUUUACUUGCCACUGAGCUGCUUGUAAGUUACUGUCAAAUUCACAGCGACCCCUUUACAGUGUAG
This is a long non-coding RNA of Oncorhynchus tshawytscha (Chinook salmon), 535 nucleotides long. The record is from Ensembl. NCBI's taxonomy places the organism in Eukaryota, Metazoa, Chordata, Actinopteri, Salmoniformes, Salmonidae.